AACGAACGCUGGCGGCAGGCUUAACACAUGCAAGUCGAGCGCCCCGCCAGGGGAGCGGCAGACGGGUGAGUAACGCGUGGGAACGUACCUUUUGGUUCGUAACAACUCCGGGACACUGGAGCUAAUACCGGAUAAGCCCUAACGGGGAAAGAUUUAUCGCCGAAAGAUCGGCCCGCGUCUGAUUAGCUAGUUGGUGAGGUAACGGCUCACCAAGGCGACGAUCAGUAGCUGGUCUGAGAGGAUGAUCAGCCACACUGGGACUGAGACACGGCCCAGACUCCUACGGGAGGCAGCAGUGGGGAAUAUUGGACAAUGGGCGCAAGCCUGAUCCAGCCAUGCCGCGUGAGUGAUGAAGGCCUUAGGGUUGUAAAGCUCUUUUGUCCGGGAAGAUAAUGACUGUACCGGAAGAAUAAGCCCCGGCUAACUUCGUG
Molecule: ribosomal RNA, 431 nt
Filed under: uncultured bacterium
Lineage: Bacteria
Description: partial 16S ribosomal RNA
Rfam family: Bacterial small subunit ribosomal RNA
Source: RNAcentral